This 468-nucleotide ribosomal RNA is filed under the name uncultured bacterium. RNAcentral describes it as "partial 16S ribosomal RNA". It matches the Rfam family "Bacterial small subunit ribosomal RNA", at positions 28 to 507 of the family's 1533-position model. The record is from RNAcentral.
GACGAACGCUGGCGGCGUGCUUAACACAUGCAAGUCGAACGGAAAGGCCCUGCUUUUGUGGGGUGCUCGAGUGGCGAACGGGUGAGUAACACGUGAGUAACCUGCCCUUGACUGUGGGAUAACUUCAGGAAACUGGGGCUAAUACCGGAUAGGAGCUCCUGCUGCAUGGUGGGGGUUGGAAAGUUUCGGCGGUUGGGGAUGGACUCGCGGCCUAUCAGCUUGUUGGUGGGGUAGUGGCUUACCAAGGCUUUGACGGGUAGCCGGCCUGAGAGGGUGACCGGCCACAUUGGGACUGCGAUACGGCCCAGACUCCUACGGGCGGCAGCAGUGGGGAAUAUUGCACAAUGGGCGGAAGCCUGAUGCAGCAACGCCGCGUGCGGGAUGCCGGCCUUCGGGUUGUAAACCGCUUUCUCCUGUGACGAAGCGUGAGUGACGGUAAUGGGUAAAGAAGCACCGGCUAACUACGUG